GAUGAAGAACGCAGCGAAAUGCGAUAAGUAAUGUGAAUUGCAGAAUUCAGUGAAUCAUCGAAUCUUUGAACGCACCUUGCGCUCCUUGGUAUUCCAAAGAGCAUGCCUGUUUGAGUAUCAUUAAAUUAUCAACUGUACCAAUUUGGUUGCAGAUUGGAUGUGGGAGAUUUUGCAGGCUUUUGAUUUCUCUUUGAGAAAACGGUCAGCUCUCCUGAAAUAUAUUAGCAGUGCCUUUGUUGGUUCAUUAGGUGUGAUAAUUUAUCUACAUCUUAAAAUGGUACCUUCAUUUGUGUAAAGGUCAUAUUGCUUCUAAUUGUCUUUGGACAUAAAAAAAAAAAAACAUAUAAUUGUAUGGAAAACUUGAUCUCAAAUCAGGCAGGACUACCCGCUGAACUUAAGCAUAUCAAUAAGCGGAGGA
This 418-nucleotide unclassified non-coding RNA is filed under the name soil metagenome. Its description in RNAcentral is "partial contains 5.8S ribosomal RNA, internal transcribed spacer 2, and large subunit ribosomal RNA". The stretch from base 1 to 120 matches the Rfam family "5.8S ribosomal RNA", at positions 35 to 154 of the family's 154-position model. The record is from RNAcentral.